UACGGGAGUGGCAAGCGUUAUCCGGAAUUAUUGGGCGUAAAGCGUCCGCAGGCGGUCUGUCAAGUCUGCUGUUAAAGCGUGGAGCUUAACUCCAUUAAGGCAGUGGAAACUGACAGACUAGAGUGUGGUAGGGGCAGAGGGAAUUCCCGGUGUAGCGGUGAAAUGCGUAGAUAUCGGGAAGAACACCAGUGGCGAAGGCGCUCUGCUGGGCCAUAACCGACGCUCAUGGACGAAAGCCAGGGGAGCGAAAGGGAUUAGAUACCCCUGUAGUCCUGGCCGUAAACGAUGAACACUAGGUGUCGGGGGAAUCGACCCCCUCGGUGUCGUAGCCAACGCGUUAAGUGUUCCGCCUGGGGAGUACGCACGCAAGUGUGAAACUCAAAGGAAUUGACGGGGGCCCGCACAAGCGGUGGAGUAUGUGGUUUAAUUCGAUGCAACGCGAAGAACCUUACCAGGGUUUGACAUCCUGCGAAUCUCUUGGAAACGAGAGAGUGCCUUCGGGAACGCAGUGACAGGUGGUGCAUGGCUGUCGUCAGCUCGUGUCGUGAGAUGUUGGGUUAAGUCCCGCAACGAGCGCAACCCACGUCGUUAGUUGCCAGCAUUUAGUUGGGCACUCUAGCGAGACCGCCGGUGAUAAACCGGAGGAAGGUGUGGAUGACGUCAAGUCAUCAUGCCCCUUACAUCCUGGGCUACACACGUACUACAAUGCUACGGACAAAGGGCAGCAAACUCGCGAGAGCUAGCAAAUCCCAUAAACCGUGGCUCAGUUCAGAUCGUAGGCUGCAACUCGCCUACGUGAAGGAGGAAUCGCUAGUAAUCGCAGGUCAGCAUACUGCGGUGAAUACGUUCCGCGGGCCU
Molecule: ribosomal RNA, 858 nt
Filed under: uncultured bacterium
Lineage: Bacteria
Description: SSU rRNA
Rfam family: Bacterial small subunit ribosomal RNA
Source: RNAcentral